Molecule: long non-coding RNA, 602 nt
Organism: Mya arenaria
Lineage: Eukaryota; Metazoa; Mollusca; Bivalvia; Myida; Myidae
Exons: 5
Source: RefSeq, a predicted model, not a curated record
AAAAGACUGACAGUCCAAACAUCACCAGAAGUGUUUGGAAAGGAAUACAAUAUGGUUAAGAAUGGUUUAUCCAGGAAUCACUUAAGUCGCAGUCCCCGCCUACAAUGUUGAGACCCCUGGCUGCAGCCUCUCACGAUCUCCAGUGCCUGUAUGGAUGUCAGCCCGCCAAUCUCUGGGGUACCUGUCACAGAAGAUACACUUGCUACAACAACAGGGGCAAAGCAUGGGUCAAGCCCGUCAAUGUCAAAAGAUAUGUAGACUGGGUGUUCGCCCAUCAUCACCCGCACUUCCUCCAUCAGUGGGCUCAGGGACUUAUGCCAGCACUCAACGGCAUCAACAACGCGGAAACCCUGUGAGGAGAUCCCUGCUGCUGAACUUAGGAUCCCCAGAGACAGCUGCUGAUUGAGAUGGCAGCAAUGAUCAAGUUACACGUGCGCAGCAUCAUGAACACGGAGGUGAAAUCAGUCAUUAGGGCCCUGCCUAAAUACAUACCCGGGCAAACUGAAAGCAGUCAUCACGCAUGGCAUACAUGAAUGAGUAAAGAGGCAUUAUGCAGUAUAAAAUGUGCAGGCACUUAUCGGUUGGCUGUAGCCAUACAGUUU